CCUACAUGAAGCUGGAGUUACUAGUAAUCGCAGAUCAGAAUGCUGCGGUGAAUGCGUUCCCGGGUCUUGUACACACCGCCCGUCACACCACGGAAGUUGGGGGCGCCCGAAGCCACUUAGCUAACCCUUUUGGGAAGCGAGUGUCGAAGGUGAAAUCAGUAACUGGGGUGAAGUCGUAACAAGGUAUC
RNAcentral lists this ribosomal RNA (188 nucleotides) under uncultured bacterium. RNAcentral's name for it is "partial 16S ribosomal RNA". It matches the Rfam family "Bacterial small subunit ribosomal RNA", at positions 1315 to 1500 of the family's 1533-position model. The record is from RNAcentral.